This 494-nucleotide ribosomal RNA is filed under the name uncultured bacterium. RNAcentral's name for it is "bacterial SSU rRNA". It matches the Rfam family "Bacterial small subunit ribosomal RNA", at positions 8 to 521 of the family's 1533-position model. The record is from RNAcentral.
AGAGUUUGAUCCUGGCUCAGAGUGAACGCUGGCGGCGUGCCUAACACAUGCAAGUCGAACGAUGAUGGAGAGCUUGCUCUCCUGAUUAGUGGCGCACGGGUGAGUAUACCAUAGAUAAUGUACCCCUUAGUUCGGGAUAGCCACUGGAAACGGUGAUUAAUACCGGAUACUCCUUCUCAUUAUAAGAUGAGUCGGGAAAGUUUUUUCGCUAAGGGAUCAGUCUAUGUCCUAUCAGCUAGUUGGUGAGGUAAUGGCUCACCAAGGCUAUGACGGGUAUCUGGUUUGAGAGGAUGAUCAGACACACUGGAACUGAGACACGGUCCAGACUCCUACGGGAGGCAGCAGUGAGGAAUAUUGCACAAUGGAGGAAACUCUGAUGCAGCGACGCCGCGUGGAGGAUGACGCAUUUCGGUGUGUAAACUCCUUUUAAGAGGGAAGAUUAUGACGGUACCUCUUGAAUAAGCACCGGCUAACUCCGUGCCAGCAGCCGCGGU